Dipodomys ordii (Ord's kangaroo rat) is the source of this 68-nucleotide small nuclear RNA. Lineage: Eukaryota; Metazoa; Chordata; Mammalia; Rodentia; Heteromyidae. The record is from Ensembl.
GUGCUCACUUCAGCAGCACAUAUACUAAAAUUGGAACGAUAUAGAGAGGAUUAGCAUGGUCCCUGCAC